AGCAACUUGCUCAGAUUUAUGUUUCCGUAGUGUGGGAGCUUUGUUCUUUCACUGUUUGCGGUGCCAUUCCAUAUAAAGUGAAGGAUAACGGCUACAGCAUUUUUUGUUAGACUUGGACAAUGUUGAAUGUACUACAGAAGCAUACUUUAAGGCUCCAGAGAGAGACAAGGAGAUGAGGAGACAAGCAGACGAACAGCGGAACAAUGCAGCAGAGAAAGAGAGAAGAGAAGGAACGUCUGAACGUCGAGAGGAGUUCGGCUGCUGGACGGCCAAACUCCAGGGGAAGAUCAUCUUCCCACUCCAUUCCCCCUCCAGCUCCCCAUCCAUCCCACUGAGAGCCACUUCCACCACUCAAUAAAAGCCCCACAUUUAUCCUUCAA
This is a long non-coding RNA of Homo sapiens (human), 380 nucleotides long. RefSeq lists it as uncharacterized. The transcript is spliced from 3 exons. The record is from RefSeq and is a predicted model, not a curated record. NCBI's taxonomy places the organism in Eukaryota, Metazoa, Chordata, Mammalia, Primates, Hominidae.